UACGUAGGGUGCGAGCGUUAAUCGGAAUUACUGGGCGUAAAGCGUGCGCAGGCGGCUUUGCAAGACAGAUGUGAAAUCCCCGGGCUCAACCUGGGAACUGCAUUUGUGACUGCAAGGCUAGAGUACGGCAGAGGGGGAUGGAAUUCCGCGUGUAGCAGUGAAAUGCGUAGAUAUGCGGAGGAACACCAAUGGCGAAGGCAACCCCCUGGGCCUGUACUGACGCUCAUGCACGAAAGCGUGGGGAGCAAACAGG
This 253-nucleotide ribosomal RNA is filed under the name uncultured bacterium. RNAcentral describes it as "partial 16S ribosomal RNA". It matches the Rfam family "Bacterial small subunit ribosomal RNA", at positions 524 to 776 of the family's 1533-position model. The record is from RNAcentral.